This 1036-nucleotide unclassified non-coding RNA is filed under the name Hevea brasiliensis (rubber tree). Lineage: Eukaryota; Viridiplantae; Streptophyta; Magnoliopsida; Malpighiales; Euphorbiaceae. The record is from RNAcentral.
UUCAUACAGUGAUUGCUACUGAAGCUUAUUUCAGAUAAUAUCAAUGGCUUUAGAUAGAUGAUAUGAGCAUAAAGACUAUCAGUCCUACUAUGAGCUUAAACCAGAUUGGAUGGUAGACCUUUACAUGGAGCAAUGAAACUUCCGGACAAGUUACAACUUACGGAGCUCUGUAAACAGAAAAUCAUAUGAAGACCAAUGAAUCGCAUGCGCUAGAUAGUGAACGAUGACUUUAGGGUUUUACAUCAACUUGAAUGACGAACCUCGCCACCUUGUCUUGUACUUCUGCCACCGGCUAAAGGAACGGAACUCUGAAUUGAAUGUUGCAACUCAGGAAGUGGUAAAGACCCAGUCUGGGAAAAAAUCAACCCAACUGAAUUGCUUGAUGUAUUUCCAGAAGAAGGAAUUCUGCUCAAAUAAGGAUCCUUUUUGGUCACUCCAAUAAGUUCAGGUCGCAAUUCAGCAGAAGACGAUGAAGGGACCAAAGUAGCAAGCAAAGACCCAACUGGAUACGGAGAAACUGGCAUAUCAAUAAGAGAUGAUGUUGAUGGACUAUAUCUCACUGUUGCCAUUGGGUGAUCAAAUUUGCACGUGGCCCCAAAUUUGCAGUUCCCAUUUUGCAAGUAGAAGGCACAAGGUUGCACUCCUGGACGUAAAGGAAGGCCAAGUGGGCUUAGGACACAAUUUGUUCUUGGCACAACCCGAUCCCGAGGAUGAUGAUAUCUACAAGAUGAUCCAAAUUUACAGUCUCCAGUCCUCAAAUAGUACUGGCACUCAGGUUCGCCAGGUCUCUCUGGAAAAGCUUGUUCCUUAGUACCACUUGAAAGGCCAGCAACAGAAGAGGGCGAUGCGUAAGGUCCGGCAAGUGCAGGUGCUGAAGAAGAUAAUUGUGUUACACCAUACAGAGAAGUUGCCCCAACUGCAGGCUGUGCACCAGGAGACAGAACAGGACUUACAGGUGCCGAAUAAGGACUCCAACCCGGAAUAGGAACCACUCCAGGGGAAAACAACACAGGACCAUAAGCCCCUUGCACAUAUG